UUCAAUUUUUUCUUAGUCAAGUCCUUUUUAUUUCGUCAUUUCCAAGUGUUGCUAGAAUUUAGCGGAAAAAAAUUGAGUAUUCAAGUUACUAGCCCCGGGAAUAACGGCUGAAUUAAUUUUAAUGGAUAAUCAUGGAAUACGUGCUAUUUCCCUUAACGAACGAGAACAUACUUUAAAUUUAAGGCCGGUUCCACAGUUUAUGGACGAUAAUAAUCAGUAAUUUGAGACGUACAUAUAAUAAAAAGGGUAUCCAAACGCAAGGCUGGGAUGAGCGAAACCCCGAGUUAUAUCGAGACAUAAAUCAAUUAUUUAGGAGCAGGAAGGAGACUGUUAACGCGUGUGUAUGAAGGAAUCGAAUAUGCUUGUUGGCGCAGCUCUUUGCCCUUGAAGUGAAAAAUAGGAUUUGGUCUCCUGUAAUAGCCCAACACCCAAUCGUCUCGAGAUUGCCUCGAGGGAAGGAAUUGAGGGUUCCUUUAUGACCACAUUUAGAUGAGUAAAUUUCACUUUUAUGUAUGUACACGUUCGAAAGGACUAAUAAAAAAAUCGGCCGCGAUAUUUUAUAAAUGUUGACAUAUUACAAAAUAUUAAGCCAUAUUUAUAUGGUUGGGAAUGGUUAUCCAAGAUGGAGGCAUUCAAUAUUAUGAAAAUUUGAAACAGGAGAGCCUAAUCCCUUUGGAACACGCGAAGGUGA
This 691-nucleotide long non-coding RNA is filed under the name Hermetia illucens (black soldier fly). RNAcentral's name for it is "uncharacterized LOC119654236, transcript variant X1". Lineage: Eukaryota; Metazoa; Arthropoda; Insecta; Diptera; Stratiomyidae. The record is from RNAcentral.